Molecule: ribosomal RNA, 1351 nt
Filed under: uncultured bacterium
Lineage: Bacteria
Description: bacterial SSU rRNA
Rfam family: Bacterial small subunit ribosomal RNA
Source: RNAcentral
AUUGAACGCUGGCGGCAUGCCUUACACAUGCAAGUCGAACGGCAGCACGGAGCUUGCUCUGGUGGCGAGUGGCAAACGGGUGAGUAAUAUAUCGGAACGUACCCUGGAGUGGGGGAUAACGUAGCGAAAGUUACGCUAAUACCGCAUACGAUCUAAGGAUGAAAGUGGGGGAUCGCAAGACCUCAUGCUCGUGGAGCGGCCGAUAUCUGAUUAGCUAGUUGGUAGGGUAAAAGCCUACCAAGGCAUCGAUCAGUAGCUGGCCUGAGAGGACGACCAGCCACACUGGAACUGAGACACGGUCCAGACUCCUACGGGAGGCAGCAGUGGGGAAUUUUGGACAAUGGGCGAAAGCCUGAUCCAGCAAUGCCGCGUGAGUGAAGAAGGCCUUCGGGUUGUAAGCUCUUUUGUCAGGGAAGAAACGGUGAAGGCUGAUAUCCUUUGCUAAUGACGGUACCUGAAGAAUAAGCACCGGCUAACUACGUGCCAGCAGCCGCGGUAAUACGUAGGGUGCAAGCGUUAAUCGGAAUUACUGGGCGUAAAGCGUGCGCAGGCGGUUUUGUAAGUCUGAUGUGAAAUCCCCGGGCUCAACCUGGGAAUUGCAUUGGAGACUGCAAGGCUAGAAUCUGGCAGAGGGGGGUAGAAUUCCACGUGUAGCAGUGAAAUGCGUAGAUAUGUGGAGGAACACCGAUGGCGAAGGCAGCCCCCUGGGUCAAGAUUGACGCUCAUGCACGAAAGCGUGGGGAGCAAACAGGAUUAGAUACCCUGGUAGCCCACGCCCUAAACGAUGUCUACUAGUUGUCGGGUCUUAAUUGACUUGGUAACGCAGCUAACGCGUGAAGUAGGCCGCCUGGGGAGUACGGUCGCAAGAUUAAAACUCAAAGGAAUUGACGGGGACCCGCACAAGCGGUGGAUGAUGUGGAUUAAUUCGAUGCAACGCGAAAAACCUUACCUACCCUUGACAUGGCUGGAAUCCUCGAGAGAUUGGGGAGUGCUCGAAAGAGAACCAGUACACAGGUGCUGCAUGGCUGUCGUCAGCUCGUGUCGUGAGAUGUUGGGUUAAGUCCCGCAACGAGCGCAACCCUUGUCAUUAGUUGCUACGAAAGGGCACUCUAAUGAGACUGCCGGUGACAAACCGGAGGAAGGUGGGGAUGACGUCAAGUCCUCAUGGCCCUUAUGGGUAGGGCUUCACACGUCAUACAAUGGUACAUACAGAGCGCCGCCAACCCGCGAGGGGGAGCUAAUCGCAGAAAGUGUAUCGUAGUCCGGAUUGUAGUCUGCAACUCGACUGCAUGAAGUUGGAAUCGCUAGUAAUCGCGGAUCAGCAUGUCGCGGUGAAUACGUUCCCGGGUCU